ACGCUUACAGGGGAGGGGAGAUACCAUGGUUGCAAAGGCGGUUUUCCCAGGGCGAGGCUUAUCCAUUGUACUCUGGAUUGGCUGAUCUCUUGUAUUUCCCCCAAUGUGGAACUAUAGCUGGUGAUAGAGGGGGAAACCACAGUGACGUAAUUAAGCCUCCA
Molecule: non-coding RNA, 161 nt
Organism: Mus caroli (Ryukyu mouse)
Lineage: Eukaryota; Metazoa; Chordata; Mammalia; Rodentia; Muridae
Source: RefSeq, a predicted model, not a curated record